GAACGACAACUCUCCUCCGUAAUCGAGAAUGGCCGCUCCGAAAAACGUGAAAAGGAAGCGAGAAGCUGAAGAAGAAGAUGAAUUCACGAAGAGAUUCUUGAAGGCCGACGAAGUGGCUCGUAUGGCAAAAAUUAAGAAGAAGAUGUUAAAAUUUGAGGACAUUGAUGAUGAAGCGUCUCGGGAAUCGGAACUGACCAAAUCUGGAAGGGUAAGCACUACAGCACCAGAUCUACUUGCACUUCCUGGUGGUACAUAUGUGAGGAAGAAAUCGACGAAACUUCGAGAAAUGGAGGAGUUUGAAGAAAUUGAGAAGAAGCAGACCACCACCAAAAAAAUGCCAACGGAACCCCUAAAGAAAGGAAAGAGUCAGCUUGGAGGUACCCCUUCAACAUCCCCUGUCAGUCCCAAAAAGUUGAAACCCUCCAAAUCGAAAGAACUUGGCCAAACUGCUUCUGUGAUCUCCCCGAAAAGCUCUGAUGAAACCUCUCCAAAGGGCAGCGUCAUCAAAUUCCUGCUGAGUUCACCAAUGCAGCCGGCCUCUACAUCGCUGCUAGGCAGCAGUGUCGGUCACUCCUCGACAAAGGGCAAAGAUAAAUCAGACACAAGCUUGCUGAGCGAGCAGAUUUCCUUGGUGAAAAAGACCCCUAAAUCAACCAAGUCAAAAGCAGCGGACAACAUUGCUCUUUUGAAGUCCCUCACCAGUACUUCAUCUGGCAAGUCAGGGAGAAAGAAGGGCGAACAGGACCUGAAGUUCCGACUGAUGGUUGGAUCGGGUUCCUUGCUGUCGUCAGCAUCCAGUGCUGUGAGUGCUUCAAACACAAGCUCCACCGCGAGUUCAAAACUGUCUGGGGAGACAGCCACAACAGUUCAUUCAGACAGCGGAGGUUCGAAGGAUGGCAGUUUGAAGAUGAAGUUCAUUCUGUCCCCUAAGGACAAAAGUUCUGUUAAGUCUUUGAGCAGUGGUGGCACUGCUAGUAGUGGAAGUGACAAGAAGAAAUCUUCAGAUAACCAUGUGCCAACAAUUCCGAAGACCAUCGUCGAGGCGAAGUCACUAUCAAGCAGCAGCAAGACUUCCAUCGCCACAAUCCCUUCCAUAAUUCCUGUACCCGUGCCAAAGGUUAUCCCUAUUCCAAAACCAGUGCCCAUUUCAAACACGACGGGAUCAAGGAAAGUGGCAGUCACCAAGUCGAUAGUCAUCCCAAAACUGAACCCCAGCCCCCGCGUGAUCUCAACGCCCGCCCCGAAGACCAUUCCCGGUACAAAAGUGAUCCCCGACACAAAGGAGCUGCCGAAAGUGAAGCCCAUUGAUAAAUCUGUUGCCGAGGUAAAGACCAUACCGAUCCCUAUCCCCACCACCUCGACGACCACUCCUUCGAGUACCAGCACCCUUGUCAAGCCUGUUGAUUCCAGCAUCAAAGUCGUCCCCGUCCCAAAGGCUUCGUUGCCCCCUACGAAAAUCAUUACUGUUAAGAAGACCGUGAGCACGAAAGGGAGCUCGGCUCAGAGCAAGUCUACAGGAGGGACCCCUGUGAGUGGUAAACAGAAAGGUUCCUCAACAAAGAGUUCAGCAACCCCAAAGUCAUCCACUGGUUUAUCGACAAAAGCCCCAUCGUCUUCCUCCUCCUCAUCAUCAUCAGCGGCAGCAGCACAGCCACAAGCCCCACAGCAACAACAACCAGCAUUAUCGUCAUCCUCAUCACCAUCAUCAUCGUCAUCAUCAAAGCCACAAUCCCUUCUUCCCCCGAUAAAGAAAGCCAUGUCAUCUUUAUCGUCGGCAACGUCCCUAUUCCUGUCAUCGUCAUCGUCGCUAGACGUGCCCGAAAAGAAGACGAAGAAAGUGAAGAAGAAGAAGAACAGCGCUGCCGUCGCGUCGGCAAAGGCCGGCGCUGCCACGGCAACGCCGGCGGUCAAAGGCGGCCAGACCGGCUCCGUGAAGGCGGCAAGCGGCGGGGGCUCGCAAAAGUCUCCAGGUCACGCCUCCGGGACGGUGAAGGUCAAGGCGAAAGCAGAGACCACCACUGACCUCAGUAAAUACGACUUCACCGACGAACCAAGCCUGGUGAUUGCAGAACAGCAGGGCUCCGGUUCAAAGCACGCAGCGACCCCAAAAUCGAAGAAGUCCAGCUCGGGGACCAGUGCCAGCUCCGGUGGAAGCAGCGGCAAAAGUUCCAGCAAGAAAGCCAAGGUGGACGUUGACCAGACAAAAACGAAACAGAAAGAUGAAGUUCCAGCUCUAAUGCCAACACUCGGUGCUGCUUUAGCCGGAGAUCAAAAUACAUUAGCAAGUCCCCCCUCGAAAACGAAACAGUCUUCUGAUAAAAAAUCCAAGAAAUCUAAGAAGUCGUCAGAAAAAGAAGAUCCCACUGCUACGAAGCCUGCCAAGAAGCGCCGGGCCCUAACUGCCUACAUGCUCUGGUGUAACAGCUACAGAAACAAGGUCCUCUCUGAAAACCCUAAACUCGAUUUUGCUCAAAUUAGUCGAAGACUUGGAGAAAUAUGGCAAAGCCUGUCUGAAAAAGAGAAACUGACCUGGAAGCAGAAAGCAAAGAAAGCGGCCAGCAAAGGGUCGACUCUGAUAAGAACUGGUAAAACUAAUGGCAAGACCGCACCUGUCCCUGCUGUAGCCAGCCCUCCAACGACACCAGUUGCUACUCUGAAGAGUUCACCUGUUCCUGGAGUGGUGAAGACUAUCAAAACACCGACAGAUGAUACUGCCACCAGUCCUUAUAAGGGUUUUGGUGUGGAACCCGUGGAUGCUGCCGCCCACCUGAAGCUGCUCGGAGAGUCCCUCAGCAUCAUCGGAAUGAGAUUACAGGAACACAAGGGUCUUAUCGCUGUGCAAGGAAGCCUGUCUGUGCUGCUCGACUCCAUGCUGUGUGCAUUUAGCCCGCUCGUCUGCCUCACGUCCUCCCUUCCGGAGAUCAACGGAUGUCCUCGUGCCACUCUCUCUAAGAUGCUGGACAACAUAGCCUAUAUCAUGCCUGGACUAUGAGUGGCUGAAGGUCAAAGGUCGGAAGCAGAAUGAGGCCAAGAAGAAAGAUACUGGGCAAAGUGGAAUUAAGUAUCUGUGUGUGUGCGUGUGUGUGUGUGUGCGUGUG
Molecule: unclassified non-coding RNA, 3098 nt
Filed under: Octopus sinensis (East Asian common octopus)
Lineage: Eukaryota; Metazoa; Mollusca; Cephalopoda; Octopoda; Octopodidae
Description: mucin-5AC-like, transcript variant X3
Source: RNAcentral